Molecule: small nuclear RNA, 119 nt
Filed under: Sorghum bicolor (sorghum)
Lineage: Eukaryota; Viridiplantae; Streptophyta; Magnoliopsida; Poales; Poaceae
Description: snRNA U5
Rfam family: U5 spliceosomal RNA
About the family: U5 RNA is a component of both types of known spliceosome.
Source: Rfam by way of RNAcentral
AGCUGCGCGGUGCACACAAAGCGAGCUAUUCUUUCGCCUUUUACUAAAGAAUACCGUGUGUGCGCCGCAAAUAGCAGCAUACGCUUAUUUUUGGAGGGUGCUCUUCUUAUUGGAGGGCC